RNAcentral lists this ribosomal RNA (468 nucleotides) under uncultured bacterium. Its description in RNAcentral is "partial 16S ribosomal RNA". It matches the Rfam family "Bacterial small subunit ribosomal RNA", at positions 28 to 507 of the family's 1533-position model. The record is from RNAcentral.
GACGAACGCUGGCGGCGUGCUUAACACAUGCAAGUCGAACGGAAAGGCCCUGCUUUUGUGGGGUGCUCGAGUGGCGAACGGGUGAGUAACACGUGAGUAACCUGCCCUUGACUUUGGGAUAACUUCAGGAAACUGGAGCUAAUACCGGAUAGGAGCUCCUGCUGCAUGGUGGGGGUUGGAAAGUUUCGGCGGUUGGGGAUGGACUCGCGGCUUAUCAGCUUGUUGGUGGGGUAGUGGCUUACCAAGGCUUUGACGGGUCGCCGGCCUGAGAGGGUGACCGGCCACAUUGGGACUGAGAUACGGCCCAGACUCCUACGGGAGGCAGCAGUGGGGAAUAUUGUACAAUGGGCGGAAGCCUGAUGCAGCAACGCCGCGUGCGGGAUGACGGCCUUCGGGUUGUAAACCGCUUUCGCCUGUGACGAAGCGUGAGUGACGGUAAUGGGUAAAGAAGCACCGGCUAACUACGUG